Sinocyclocheilus grahami is the source of this 221-nucleotide long non-coding RNA. RefSeq lists it as uncharacterized. The record is from RefSeq and is a predicted model, not a curated record. The transcript is spliced from 3 exons. NCBI's taxonomy places the organism in Eukaryota, Metazoa, Chordata, Actinopteri, Cypriniformes, Cyprinidae.
UGAUUUCUGCUGCUGCUGGAGCUCUGUUGAUCGUAGCUGCAGUCAUGUGGUACUGCUUCUGCUGGGAACGUAGAAAAAGAGUCAUAAUCAACGAGAUAUAUGGAAAUGAUUCAACACUGCCUACACCAAAACCUCGAAAAACGAAAUCAAAGGAGCCUGUUUAUGGAAAUACCGGCAGAAAUAAUCAGCAAUGAUCAAAUAUAUUUUAGAGCUCAUACUGA